CAAUUCCCUCCACGACGCCACAUCGAUCGACGACGAUAUCGGGAAGCAAUAUGGGGUUGGCCUUGUCGCGGCUGGAGGAGAUUAGGACGCAGUACCGCAUGGCAGCGGAAGACGGCGAGGCUGACAGUCCGGCACCGGCGCCAGUGUCGCCGACCGGUGCUGCUGCUGCUUCCGGCGGCGGCACUGAAAAGAAGAAGCAGGCGGACGACUCGUCGUCGUCGUCAAAGACGACAGAAUGGGUUCCUCAUAAGUUCUCUGAGAUCGUCGGUCAAAGACGACCUGGUGAGGAUAUGUUCCGAGGGAUCUACCUUCCACGAUCGGAUCAGCAGCCGAAAACAAAGAAGUACUGGGUAGAUGGGAGAAAUGCCAACUGCUUCAUGCUGUUCCCUAAAGGAUUCAGCAUCACCUGGGGUUCGGACGCAAGGUACUGGAGUUGGCGCAAGCUCACACAAGAAGAGAAAAGAGAGAUCGACCCCGAGGAGGCCAAAAUGGAGAUGGAGGUGGCGUACCUCAAGGACGUGUGCUGGCUGGAGAUCCGUGCGAAGCUGGAGAUGUCCCACCUCACUCCGGGAUUCACCUACGUCGUCGACUUUGUAGCCAAGCUCGAACAGAACGGCUACGGCUGGUCCGAGCCGGUGGACCUCCAGAUCAAUUGUCCCGGCGACGUCGACAGGAAGCCGCGGAAGGAGAGUCUAUGGAAGACGGUUGACGGGAAAAAGUGGUCGUACGUCAAUGUCGGGGAGGUGGAGGCGGCCGGGCAAAAUGGGGAGAUGGAGAUCGCCAUGCUCAGGUUAGGUGGGGACUGGAAGAGAGGACUCGUCCUCAGGUGCAUCAAGAUUACCCCAAAACCCU
Molecule: unclassified non-coding RNA, 852 nt
Filed under: Zea mays
Lineage: Eukaryota; Viridiplantae; Streptophyta; Magnoliopsida; Poales; Poaceae
Description: misc RNA Zm00001eb336110
Source: RNAcentral